GUGGGGAAUAUUGCGCAAUGGGGGAAACCCUGACGCAGCAACGCCGCGUGAGCGAAGAAGGUUUUCGGAUUGUAAAGCUCUGUCUUUAGGGACGAUAAUGACGGUACCUAAGGAGGAAGCCCCGGCUAACUACGUGCCAGCAGCCGCGGUAAUACGUAGGGGGCAAGCGUUGUCCGGAUUCACUGGGCGUAAAGAGCACGUAGGCGGUUAAUUAAGUCAGGUGUGAAAGUUUUCGGCUCAACCGGAAAAGUGCACUUGAAACUGGAUAACUUGAGUAUCGGAGAGGUAAGCGGAAUUCCUAGUGUAGCGGUGAAAUGCGUAGAGAUUAGGAAGAACACCGGUGGCGAAGGCGGCUUACUGGACGAUAACUGACGCUGAGGUGCGAAAGCGUGGGGAGCGAACAGGAUUAGAUACCCUGGUAGUCC
This 425-nucleotide ribosomal RNA is filed under the name uncultured bacterium. Its description in RNAcentral is "partial 16S ribosomal RNA". It matches the Rfam family "Bacterial small subunit ribosomal RNA", at positions 354 to 796 of the family's 1533-position model. The record is from RNAcentral.